ACCCGUUGAUCCUGCGGGAGAUUGCUGCUAUCAGGAUUCGACUUAGCCAUGCAAGUCUGGGGGCCUUCGGGUCACCGGCGGAAUGCUCAGUAACACGUCGUUAAUCUGCCCUUGGGUCUGGGAUAACCUCGGGAGACUGAGGCUAAACCCGGAUAAGGGACACAAUCUGGAAAGAUGUGUCCUCUAAAGGUGACGCCUAAGGAUGAGACGGCGGCGGAUUAGGUUGAUGGUGGGGUAACGGCCUACCAUGCCUUUGAUCCGUAGGGGCCUUGAGAGAGGUAGCCCCGAGAAGGACACUGAGAUACUGGUCCUAGCCCUACGGGGUGCAGCAGGCGCGAAACCUUUACAAUGCACGCAAGUGUGAUAAGGGAAUCCUGAGUGCUCAAGCAUUGCUUGGGCUUUUUGUCAAGGGUAAAGUCCUUGGCGAAUAAGUGGUGGGCAAGACUGGUGCCAGCCGCCGCGGUAACACCAGCGCCACAAGUGGCAGUCAGCAUUACUGGGCCUAAAGCGUCCGUAGCCGGUUUGGAAAAUCCUUUGUGAAAUCGUCGAGCUUAACUCGGCGGCGUGCAGGGGACACUACCAGACUUGGGACCGGUGAGGAGUCAGAGGAAUUAGAGGGGGAGCGGUAAAAUGCAAUAAUCCUUCUAAGACCACCUGUGGCGAAGGCGUCUGACCAGAACGGAUCCGACGGUGAGGGACGAAAGCUAGGGGAGCGAACCGGAUUAGAUACCCGAGUAGUCCUAGCUGUAAACGCUGCGAGCUAGGUGUUGCAUAUUCUCCAGGAUUAUGCAGUGUCGGAGCGAAGGUGUUAAGCUCGCCGCCUGGGAAGUACGGUCGCAAGACUGAAACUUAAAGGAAUUGGCGGGGGAGCACCACAAGGGGUGCGGCGUGCGGUUUAAUCUAAGUCAACACAGAGAAUCUCACCAGCAGCGACGGCAGGAUGAAGGUCAGUCUGAAGGGCUUACCUGACGAGCCGAGAGGUAGUGCAUGGCCGUCGUCAGCUCGUGCCGUAAGGUGUCCUGUUAAGUCAGGCAACGAGCGAGACCUGUACCUACACUUGCUAGCGAAAUCUUCGGAUUGAUCGAGCACAGUGUAGGAACUGCUUGGGAAACCAAGAGGAAGGUGCAGGCUACGGUAGGUCUGUAUGCUCCGAAUCCGCUGGGCUACACGCGCGCAACAAUGGUAGGGACAAUGGGAUGCGACUUCGAAAGGAGGAGCUAAACCUCAAAACCCUAUCUCAGUUCAGAUCGAGGAUUGUAACUCAUCCUCGUGACGAUGGAAUCCCUAGUAAUCGGAUUUUAUCAGAGUCCGGUGAAUAUGUCCCUGCUCCUUGCACACACCGCCCGUCAAGCCAACCGAGCAGGGCUUAGGUGAGCACAUGCUUUUUUGGCAUGUCCGAAUCUAGGUUCAGUGAGGUGGGCUAAGUCGUCACAAGGUA
RNAcentral lists this ribosomal RNA (1438 nucleotides) under metagenome. RNAcentral's name for it is "bacterial SSU rRNA". It matches the Rfam family "Archaeal small subunit ribosomal RNA". The record is from RNAcentral.